RNAcentral lists this unclassified non-coding RNA (234 nucleotides) under Davisomycella medusa. RNAcentral's name for it is "partial contains 5.8S ribosomal RNA, internal transcribed spacer 2, and large subunit ribosomal RNA". The record is from RNAcentral. Lineage: Eukaryota; Fungi; Ascomycota; Leotiomycetes; Rhytismatales; Rhytismataceae.
CGCACAUUGCGCCUGCUGGUAUCCCAGCAGGCAUGCCCGUUCGAGCGUCAUUUCAACCCUCAGGCUCUGCCUGGUAUUGGAGUUUCUACGGUGUAGGCUCCCAAGUCCAGUAGCAUGGUUGUCAUUUCACCAAGUGCAGUAAAUUACCAUCACUUAGGGGAAGUGGCAUUUCGUCGCUAGGAACCAAUCUCAAAAGUUGACCUCGGAUCGGGUAGGGUUACCCGCUGAACUUAA